GCAAUUAUGUUUUUAUGUAGUGCUACCUAUUACCUAAUACAAAAGCCAUCUUUAUGUCUGCAGAAAAACUUUCAUGGCUGCUAUCAUUCAAAACAAACACAAACAGUAGAUUGUACUCGAAUUGAAUCAGAUAUAUGAACCAUGUCUAUAUCAAGUAGGUAAUUUUGUUUAGCCUCAAAAGAGUGCGAGAGGAGGAACAAAUAUGCAUUAUUUACAGAGCAUCCUGAAAAAAUGAAUUACACAGAUAAACUGUGAAUCAAAUCCUGGAAGGGAUCAGAGGGGUAUUGUUCUGGAAGUAUGCACUGGCUGCUGCAACUCCGCUUCCGAGCUUAACAGGGUAUCCGACAUCCUUAAGCACCAUCUCCACACCAGCAAGACAACCCAACAGUUGCAACUGGAAACAGAAUAAUUAUCGGAUAUCAAAAACUGAGAAAGUUACUGCGUAAACCUUGUACUCCAUUAUAACCGUUUCAUUUUACUUGCUUUGCAAGCUUUCCCAAUGAUGUUCAUACGUAUCGUUAAGUUUAACUUUUGCCCCAUUCUCUUUACACAAACAACAAUGAAAAACAUAUGGUAUAUAGCACAACUUCGAGGAUGAUAAAUAAAUGAAUUGGGUGCUAUAAACAGGCCUCAUUGAAGUGAUGUUAUCAUUUGUAGAUUUUUGUGUUCUACCAUUUUCAUAUAGAGCGUAAUUGACAGAGCGAGGUCAAUAGGCUAGUUUCUACCUACUCUAUUACAUGAUAUCCAGUUUAAGCCGAAAAUAGGUCCACUUCCUUUUGUACUUCCAUUCCAACUGAUGUCGAAUGGUGCUUGAAAUAUGUAAAUAAUGUAAGAUGCAAAGGAUUGACAUUACCUCAUUCAGGUUGCCAAGAUGCCCUAUUCUGAAAACCUUGCCGGCUAUUUUGUUCAGGCCUAGGCCUAAGCUCAAAUUGUACCUUUUCCAUGCCCUUUUCACAAUUUCGGUACUGUCAAUGUAUGGAGGAACAAGAACAGCAGUCACUGUGUCACUCACCCAUUCCUCGCUUUGGGUGCAGUUCUUCAACCCCCAUGCCUCCACAGCAAGCCUGCACUUCCAAGUUGUAGGCAACGUUCAAAUACCCCAUUUAAUGCAAUACAACAGUAAACAAUUGGGAGACGAAUAGUUGUAACCAGAAGCUAUACCUUGUUGCUUUGCCCAAACGGCUAUGUCUUGCAAUCACAUUGUCAAGUCCUUCCUCAAAAAGAAGAUCAAGUGCUGUACGCAGCCCAUACAGCAACUGGAUGGAAGGGGUGUAUGGCCAGUAUGUUCCCAACUUAUAGAACUUCAAGUAGUCAUUCCAGUCGAAGAACACCCUCACGGAUUUUGCACUUUUAGAUGCCUCCAGAGCCUUGGGGCUUGCACACACAAUCCCAAUUCCAGUGGGGAGGGAAAGAGCUUUCUGAGAGCCAGUUAAAGCAACAUCUACCCCCCACUCGUCCAUACGGAAAUCAAGGGCACAUAUGGAAGACACUCCAUCGACAAGGAAGAGAGCCGGAUGCAUGUAGUUAUCUGAGAGUUCAAUGAAAAAGCAUGAGAAGCAUUCCAUGAAGGUAACUGACGAGUAAGAAAAGCAAGUAUCCAGAGAAAGGAAGAAAAUGUGACUAAGAUUAACUGAUGUCUGCAAGUACUCUGUGGCUCUGCCUCGGAUAGAUAAUAGAGAGCCACAUACAUAAGCAUAUAGACAACCAUUUUAGAACUGAUAAUAGAACAUGUACACAAGCAGAUUACGGAUAUAAAAUGAAAGCUAAAUCAGGCAUAGAAGAAGACAAGCCUACCAAGUAUUUUUCUGACUUUAGCCAAGUUGUUUGUGACUCCGGUGGCUGUUUCAUUGUGAACAAUGCAUAUUGCCUUUAUAGUGUGCGCUGUAUCUUCUGCAAUUUUUGAUUCCAGAACGUCAAGGUUAGCACCUUGGCCCCAAUCACUUUCUACAACAUCCACAUUGAACUUAAGGCGCUGCUGCUGAUCGAUCCACAGUAAACUGAAUUGGCCAAUCAGGAAAGAUACAAUCCGGUCUCCAGGAGAUAAUGUGUUUGUAAGUGCACUCUCCCAUGCACCAGUGCCUAAAAAAAUUUAGAGUAAUGUUAUAAAGAACUUAGCCAUUCACACUCAAUUAACCUAAUUAUGAACGUAAGAUCGCUUCUAGUUGUUCAGACCAUGUAUAAUACUGAGACACUACAAACAACUUUUCACAAGAUGUGAUAAAAGAAAGAACUAAUCUGAAAAGUACAUUACAACUGAAUGGAAAAAACUGAGACCAUAAUAGUUAUUGAGAUACCUGUGGUAGGGAUCAUAAAUGGAGUUCCAGAUGUAGUCUUGAAAAUCUUCUUCACAUCCUCGAGCAGAGUUUUGGUCAUUGCUGGGACAGCGGGAGAACGGUAAUCCUCAU
This 2405-nucleotide long non-coding RNA is filed under the name Malus domestica (apple). RNAcentral describes it as "long non-coding RNA (MDOM_LNC003099)". Lineage: Eukaryota; Viridiplantae; Streptophyta; Magnoliopsida; Rosales; Rosaceae. The record is from RNAcentral.